Molecule: non-coding RNA, 7307 nt
Organism: Meleagris gallopavo (turkey)
Lineage: Eukaryota; Metazoa; Chordata; Aves; Galliformes; Phasianidae
Source: RefSeq, a predicted model, not a curated record
GAAAUUACUGUGCUGAGCAUUUAAUGCUCUCACAGAACGUUUGUUCUCUGCUUGAAAUCCCACAUACCAAGCGCCUGCCUGAGGCAAAGACAAAAAAACUUAGCUUUGAUACUCCAAAAUGGGCUGUGUAAAUCCCGUGCAGCUGGUCUGCGUGAAAUGUGCCCAGUGACAGCACGCCACGGAGAGGAUUCCAAGGGUCUCUCUUUCUGGGUCUCUCGGAUGCUGGUAGGGUCUUACUGCUUGUGCUGUGCAUGGCAGUGACAGAGCAGUGCUCAGCAUUAAGGGUGCGAUCGCUAUGCAGCUCCCUCAGGCAUAUGUGUGGACAAAACAGAUGCGUAACUGUGCCACAUUGCCUUCUUUUGUAUAUUUAGAUAUGCUUUGAUAUUUUCCAACUUUGGAGUUGUGGUUAAAGCCUCAAAGGGAAUCUGGGAGUCCACAGCAGCUGAGCCUAUGCUUCUAGCACAGGGCGUUCCUGUGCCGUGCUGUGAAUGUGGUAAGCAAAUGGUGUCAGUGAUCCUGAACUGCAGUGUUUGUCAAGGGAAAUUCUCUGAGUCUUAUUUAAAUGCGAAAGCCAACACAGUAGCACUGACACUUGUGUGUAUUUGUGGUGAGGUCAAUGACUAUUUGGAUUUGAGACUGUUUUUUCUGCCUGUGCCAUUCUGGCCACCAGCUCUGCUCCUUGAACUGACUCUGCUUUGCUUCUUUCUGUAAUAUAACCCAGCUGGGACACGGUCCCAAGUGGUAAGUGACUCAAACCAAUCAAACUUCAGAAGGUCACGAAUGAAAAGAGGUGCAGUUCAGGGAAAUAAAUGUUAGAAUACAAAGUUAGGGAAGUUGUGACUGGUGAAUACGAGCAGCUUGUAGCAAUGUCAUGUUUUCCCCUAACAGUGCAUUGAAGCACUUUGGACAGCCUACUUUUGCACAUGUUUUAUGGACAGAGUGCUCCUGGCAGUGUCCUGCAAGGCCACCUGUGUGAGUCUUGCUCUGUGCUCAGGCUGGAGAGAUCUCCCUGGUUCUCCUGACACAGGCACUAGGGUCACUGCCAGGAGUGAGAGCAAACGUGUGAAACUGUUGCAUAGAGCUUGGUGUGGCAGCACUCAGGAAGGAGAAAUCUUGGAGGCUUUCAUUAAUCCAAACCAAUCAUAAGAUGCUGAGAGUACAAAAAGAGAUUUGUACACAUUGCGUCAUAAAUCAGCUUCCGGCAAAACAAGAAGAAAAUUUUCCUUGGAGCCAGCUAAGCCAAUAGCUGCUUCUGGCAGGGUUUCCUGCAUGCUUCCCAGAUCAUUUUGUCAUGGCCAUUGAUUGAAAUAAUGCACUGGGCAGAUGGACCACUGGCCAGAGCAAGUAUGUGGCCAUUCUUGUGAUGCCUGGGCCAACAGACUUCUCUUAAGGGGCUCUGAGGGAUUUUGUCUGAUGUGUCCCAGAAUGGGAUCGUCCAUGUUUCUGUGGAAGGAUGCUUGUGGUCUACAAUCUGGGAUGCAAACAGGAGUGAGGGACACAUCUUGUGAGGCAGCAGUAAGGCCAUGGUACAUGGACAGAGGGAGGGUAGUGAGGUUUGCCAUAUGUAGCUUGUGACUUGUAGCUGUUUGCUUUGAAGCAGGAGACAGGAAGAUUUCCUUUCCCUUUUAAAGGAAGAUUGGUGCAGAGCAAAGAUAGGUGAAAAGUUCCGAGGAAAACUAAACAGAGAAGAGAAGCAGUACUAAGAGAGGGCCAAAUCUUUCACUGGUGUAUAUGAGCAUUACUCAUACAACUUCAAGAGACUACAUGAUUGAACUGAGCAUGUACUAGCUGAGGACCUGGCCCAUAAUGUUCUUUAUAAAGAUCUGAUUCCUCCCCAAAUAGCUUUUCCCUCUCUCUUCAAAGAGGCACCUGUUGUUGGAGGAGCUGGUGAUGAUACUGGAUUAGUGCACAUGCGGUCAGCCCGCUUGGCCUCGGCCCUUUGGACCCAAAAUGAACUCCAGCUGCUGUUGCCCAGAGCAGGUGCUUCAUCCAGCCUGAGCAGCUGUUUGAAUGCACACUGCCCUGGCCAAUAGGCGGGAUAAGUCGUCUGAACUACCAGGGGAAGAGCUGGUCAGCAGGAGGGAAGGGAAAGGCACUAUGCCACAGAGUUGGGUUUCUUAUACCCAGCAUUUAGCGUGGAGACAUUGUUCCAACAUAUCAUGGUGGAAAUGGGAAACAGUGGCUGGCAUUCUGCAUGCAGCAAGCCUGCAUGACCCAGUGAUGGAUGCUGGUUCCCAAAAUGGGAGACCAGCAGGACCCUGACUAAUGCUGGAUCUGUAAGAUGCUGAAUCUGUCUUGUCAGUUAUGUGGCUCUGUGUGAGACAUUCAGAGGGCUGCUGGCAUCUAACAGUUGUUCAGUGUUUACAGCCAUCGGUUCAAAGCUUUAAAGAGCUGCCUGGCAGAGGUGAGAUAGGCGCAGAGCAGCAUGCAGGAUGAUACCUGUGAGGUGUGACAGCCAAAACCAGCAGCAAGGAAAGAUGACAAAAGCAGAGGGAAAUGGGUUAAGAUGCAGCCACAGGAGUGCAGGGGACUGUGCCAGGUCAGAGGAGGGUGAGGAGAUGUGUGGGCAUUCAGAGAUAGGGAAGGUUGGAAGGCAGCAGCCAGAGUUUGAGGAAGGAGAAUAGAAAGACAAUGCCAAAGGUAGAGCAGUGGUAACCCGGGGAGGGCUAGAGUGAAGGGAGCAGGUCAAGGAUGCAGGUUUCUUCUUUCUACAUUGUAUAUGGUUUUGGUCAGAUCCUAUCAGACAGGCUUCUCAUUCUGCGUGCCUUUACUAAUUGCUCAAACAAGCUCUCAGUGAACCCCCAUAUUUCAUUUUUCAUUACAGUGUGGCACAAGCCCAGGAGAAAAACAUGAAUAUUAGAGGCCUCUCUUUGUCAGGAAAUGGGAUUUCCGCAGGUGCUCAGUUGCAAAUACUGUGCAUGCUUCUAAGGCUUGGCAUAUGGCAUUGCUAAAUCCUGAUUCAGGAUGCAAGAAUGUCUCAUGGCCCCUGCCAUGUAAACUGUUGUCCGCCCAUGUUUGGAAGUCAGCCCUCAGUGAUGGCACUAGACAAGUAUGGGUGAAAUGAGCAGCUUGGCUUCAGCACCGAGCAAGACUUGUUGAACACUGUAAGUACAGAUGGCCCAAUCCACAUUUUGAAUAAUGAAUAUUACGACUUUUUCUGCAGCUAGUGGUAAGAAGUUCAACAGCCUUUCUUCAGCCCCUAUCUGCCAUCCCAGGAUUUGAAAGAGUGACAAAGUAUUUCAUCCCUUCACAGGAUCGGCUCAAUAAAAAAUCAUGCAUGGGAUGAAUUCAGCUGUCGUUCAACACAGUCAGUAUGGAUUGCUGAUGGUUCGCUUUCAAAAACAGAAAUAGAGAAAAACAGAGAAUUAUUCUAAGUAGCCACUGUUUUGUUCAAAUGGAAUAUUUCAAAGGUACUUUUUAAAGAAAAACAAUGAAAAAUAGUCAUUCAGUAGUGCUGAUACAGGAUUCACAGAGGUUAACACCACUGACAUCAUGCUGGAACUGUAUAGCAUUUUGUCAGUGGUUAUUAAUGCCCUGCUGCUGGGAGACAGACAGUGCCAGCUGCCAUUUGGUGUGAUGCUUCUCUGCGGGUGAGCCUCAGCCUCUGCUCUGAAAGACUGUGAACAUCUGAGGAUCUGCUCCCUGCCUAGUCAUCACUCCUCUGGCACAGGAGGAGAGGAGAUGGUGCUACAGAGCCAUGUUCAGAAGGCACAGAUGACUUGUGUUACUCAGAUGUUCAAGACUAAAGACCUUUGGAAGGAAAUAAAACUGGAAGUUCAGACAAACAUGAGAAUUUUGCCAUCAGACUUAGGGGAGAAGCCUAUAUUAUUUAAGAGCACCUUAGAGUUUUGGACACCAGUGGAAAGAAGUCAGAAAUGGUAUGGAGUGAAGGAGAAAAGCCCUUGGGAGGAAGGAGAAGGAACUUUGUAACGGCAGAAUGCUGUUGAAUGUGGAACAAUUAAUGAUCUUUGACUACACCAUAUUCAUUAUACAUCCAGAUUUGUAGGUUUAGCUCACUCACUUGGGGCUAGCUAUUACUUUGUGUAAUACCUUUCAAUUACAUCCACCAUAAGGGAAUAAAAGAGAUAUGUAAAGGUGCAAUACAUCAGUGUAACAUAUCAAAUUUUUAGCAGUCUGUACCAAACACAGGUUUAAGCCAAUGUUAGAUUAUUCCUUAAGUGUAUUGUUAUUAUGACAAAUCUGAAAGGAGCUAAAAGCAUUUCAGUAGAUGAAAAAAAAGGAAGCUUUUAUUUCCUUCGCACAGCCUGGAACCAAAGCAGGAUGGUCAGCUAGGCUUACACAGCCCUGCUUCGUACCAUGCAAGCACACUCCAGUCAACGUAAGGGGAAUGCUCAAAGAAGCUGUGAAUCCUACAGAGGGACCAGUUCAUCGGGCUGCUCCACAUCUGUAAAUGCCAAAGUAUGCUAGGACUAGGGAAACAUCUAUGUAUCUAUCUAAUAGGCACCAGCAGGGUGGGUUUUUUUUUGCUCCUCUUUGGUUUCUGUAGAACAGAUUUGUCGUUGUAGAUUUAAAAUGCUGCGUAUAUAUAUUCCUACUAAAGCCCUUGCAGUGCUAUCUCAGGUAAUGACAUUUUGAAGGAAUCAUUUGCGCACCAGUGAUUUUUCUUAAGAUAAUUACGCCACUUAAAUGGUAAACUAACAUAUGUCUUCUGCAUUAUUUCCAGUUUAUACCUCAAAAGAAGCAGGUAUUUCAUAUGGCAAUGGAGGGUCGUGAAGGAGUUGACAGCACUGGAAUUGAAAAAGGUAUUUCAAAAAGACUGUGACUCUCUGAAGUGUGGACAUUGAGAGGCAGCCCCUCUUGGUUUUGACUUUGAUGCUGGCCCUGAUCUGUGCAGGAGGUUGGACUAAAUGACACCUCAGCUUCAAUUAUUUUGUACUCAGAAAAGAAACAGUCUCCUAAUUCUGGUUCAGAUAAUUUUAUUAAGCUCCUGUGAAAUCUAUCCAACCUAGGUUUUAUGUUACAGUUUCCACUUGGAUUUUUAUGUCUUUAUCUACCAUCUGAGGAUCAGUAUUAUGGAGAAGAUUGCAACUGUAGUUCUCAUAGAGGAAUAUGUAAAGGAAAAACACGAAUAAUGCACUGAGAUUGUCCAGCUGUGAAAGUCCUGAUGGUCCAAGCACAUUGUGAUGACAACUGUAAUCUGAUGUGCCACACAGUCUAUUGUAUUCUCUUUGGUACUAAGAUAAAAAACAAAACACAUCAUUGCCUACAGAUCUUUUCUAAAAGAGAGAUGAACAUUUGAGUGCAAGAACCUCAAGUUCGGGAACACAAUUCAAUUUUUAGUUUUGCAUACCAAUAAAUUAUUAGAAUUAAAUGGAAAAAUCCAUGUAAUCUGCAUGUGCUUACCAAUUAUCUAGUUUGAUACCCAAACAGUGACUUGUAUGGACAACUUCUUUGGGCAGUUUUACAGAGUUCACUACACAAGUAGUCUAUAGUCAGUUGCCUAAUCCUCACUGCAUCAUCCCGCACCAAACCAGCAGAAGCAGCAGCUGAAGAAGAGCAAUUAUUCCCCUCCACACAGCACCUGAGAGAUGGCAUCUAAAGCAUCGUGGUCUUCCUGGUGCAAGACAGAUAUUGUGCUGGAACAGACCACCACAGAGGAGAGAAGCUGGGGCACAUGCAACACCCAGAGCUGGGCCUGUUCAGCCUGGAAAAGAGAAGGCAGAGCAGACAUCUUGUCUACCACUGCCUACAGCCACUUGCUGGGGGGUGGGGGAGUACACGGAGGUGGGGGCUGAGCUUGAACAGAGGGAGAGGGAACAAACCCACCCCAGUUGGAGCAAGGGAAUUUCCAGCUGGAUGCUUGACAAAAGUACUCCUCAGGGCAUGCUAGGCUUUGGAGCAGGAGCCCAGAGAGGAAGUGGAUAAUUUUAAUGGUUGUUAAUUAAAACAACUCAUUGUACUUUCCAAUAGCCCAAACUUUUUGGAUAAUUAUAAAAAUGUAUAGUAAAAAAUCGCCUAACUCCGAACAUGACUUUUUUGAAGAGCAGCUGAGAGAAAAAAACAUUGGAAUUCUGUAUUUCUUCAAGAAACAAGCUUUCAUUCAUUGACCUCUUAGCAUUUGAUUAGUCUUGUACUCUGCUGGUAAAUAACAUUUGCAAGAUCUCAGUUGCAGACCAGGCUUUCCAUUUGCGAUUAGUAUCUCUGGGGACCAAACAAAAGCAGAAUGAACCCACAGAAGCCCCAGCUCUCUCAGCACAGCUGGGGUAGCACACUUCAGUGCCAAGCAGCCCCUACCACCUGGUAUGUUUCACUGGUCCUCAAGUUUUUUAGAAGUUAUUCUCUUGUUCCCAGGAGAAUAUUCUAGGACAAUCAUCAAGCUUGUAUUUUGUAUCCUUACCUCUUAGGUUUAUUGUAUGAUAAGUAAUACUAGCACCAGAAAAAAAGAAAAAAAAGUAAGCAGAAGUUAAAGAACUCGAGUAGCAAAACCAGCUGCAGGUGGCUCCUUUGCUUCUUUCCUAGCUGUGUCACUAAUGAGAUUCACCUGAGCCCUCCCUUCCCAUCCAGCCCCUGAGCAGCCACCUGAUGCCAUCCCCAGACAUGGCCUUUGGUAUCUCAGUCAGCUUUGUGCAUCUGAGGCUGUCACAGAAGGAAAAGGUGGAAGGCAAGCAUGUGGCUGGUUGCUUGCUUAGAGCCCAGCACAGACCUCUGGGUUCUGUGAUGUGUGCAGGUCUGAGCACUGGGCCCAGCGCUGCCCCACCCAGCUACACAACUGCAGUCACUUGGGCUUGAUGGCUGCAGGGGUAGGGGCACGGCAGCUUCCCCAGCAGGACAGAGCAAGGCUGGUCCUGGUGGAAGGGAGCUGGCUUAAAAUCAGCAUCUAAAAGGCCAUAAUAGAUGUCCCUGGAGCCUUCACCAUCUGCCAUUGAGUUUCAUCGUGCACAAGAAGCAGGCUUGUUUCCCGGGUUUUGAACUUGCAUCCUCUCUGCUGGAAUGUCCCUACCAGUAGGCAGCAUCCAAGUUGUUGUUUCUAAAGAAAAUUUUCUUCAAGGACUUUGGAGAGGGCAGAACAGGAAGAGCACAACAGCAUCAUACUUGUGCAGCCUUCCUCCAUGUGGACUUGUUGCCUGCCCCGUGGAGCCCAGGACGUGCAGCCUGUUGCACGCUAUACAUUGUUCUACAGCUAAUGCCAACUACAGCCCCAUAUGCUGUGCGCUGAUCCCUUCCCCCUCGUGCAUUAUUUCCUAGUGCGGCAUUAGCGAACUGCACGCUGAUCCGCUGUUACUUCAUGGAUUUAGAACAUAAUCUGCGGGCCCUCGAUGAUGUAAAACAGUAACUAUUGGUUUAAG